This 86-nucleotide transfer RNA is filed under the name Candidatus Nomurabacteria bacterium RIFCSPHIGHO2_02_40_30. Its description in RNAcentral is "tRNA-Thr". It matches the Rfam family "tRNA". From Rfam's summary of the family: Transfer RNA (tRNA) molecules are approximately 80 nucleotides in length. Their secondary structure includes four short double-helical elements and three loops (D, anti-codon, and T loops). The record is from RNAcentral. RNAcentral also lists the same sequence under 5 other names. Lineage: Bacteria; Candidatus Nomuraibacteriota.
GCUGGGGUGGCGGAAUUGGUAGACGCGUCUGUUUUGUAAACAGGUAUCCCUCUAAAGAUAUGCGAGUCCGACUCUCGUCCCCAGCA